GCCUGACUGGCUCAGUCAGUGGAGCACGUGACUCUUGAUCUUAAGGACAUGAGUUUGAGUCCCAUGUUGGGUG
This 73-nucleotide transfer RNA is filed under the name Mustela putorius furo (domestic ferret). It matches the Rfam family "tRNA". Rfam says of the family: Transfer RNA (tRNA) molecules are approximately 80 nucleotides in length. Their secondary structure includes four short double-helical elements and three loops (D, anti-codon, and T loops). Further hydrogen bonds mediate the characteristic L-shaped molecular structure. tRNAs have two regions of fundamental functional importance: the anti-codon, which is responsible for specific mRNA codon recognition, and the 3' end, to which the tRNAs corresponding amino acid is attached (by aminoacyl-tRNA synthetases). tRNAs cope with the degeneracy of the genetic code in two manners: having more than one tRNA (with a specific anti-codon) for a particular amino acid; and 'wobble' base-pairing, i.e. permitting non-standard base-pairing at the 3rd anti-codon position. Lineage: Eukaryota; Metazoa; Chordata; Mammalia; Carnivora; Mustelidae. The record is from Rfam by way of RNAcentral.